Molecule: ribosomal RNA, 484 nt
Filed under: uncultured bacterium
Lineage: Bacteria
Description: partial 16S ribosomal RNA
Rfam family: Bacterial small subunit ribosomal RNA
Source: RNAcentral
AUUGAACGCUGGCGGCAGGCUUAACACAUGCAAGUCGAGCGGAUGAAGGGAGCUUGCUCCUGGAUUCAGCGGCGGACGGGUGAGUAAUGCCUAGGAAUCUGCCUGGUAGUGGAGGAUAACGUCCGGAAACGAGCGCUGAUACCACAUACGACCAGAGGGAGAACGUGGGGGAUCUUCGGACCUCAAGCUAUCAGCUGAGCCUAGGUCGGAUUAGCUAGUUGGUGGGGUAAGGGCGUACCAAGGCGACUAUCCGUAACUGGUCUGAGAGGAUGAUCAGUCACACUGGAACUGAGACACGGUCCAGACUCCUACGGGAGGCAGCAGUGGGGAAUAUUGGACAAUGGGCGAAAGCCUGACCCAGCCAUGCCGCGUGUGUGAAGAAGGUCUUCGGAUUGUAAAGCACUGUUAUUUGGGAAGAACAGCAGUAAGUUAAUAUCUGGCCGUCUUGACGUUACCUACUGAAUAAGCACCGGCUAACUUCGUG